AGCACUGGGCAGGACUUGGCAGACGGAAGGCACUUCCCUCGCCUCCUGAGACACCCAUGAGAGCUUCCACCUGAAAAACACAUCCAUUCCUGACACAAUGGCUGCGUGAUGCUCCCUGAGGUCAGUGUGGGCGCCAGCCUGGAGGAAAAAGUGAGGUGAUGGGUCUGACCCCAGUGCCUUUGCUCGGUACGGCAAGGCUCUGACGUUUCCCAGCCUGGAUGUGGGAAGAAGGCCUGGUGCGGCUGGGGGCCGAAGGUCCUGAGGGUCGGGACGGAGCCACUCUGAGCAUGGACUUCAAAACAGGAAAUCUGCAGGUUUGUCCUGGAAGCCUAUUGGCCCCUGGCCGAGGGGCCAGAAUUUCCACCCUCCCCACGAGCAGAAGCCCUGAAUCUGAAACAUCAGAACAGAAGGCAGUAAGGAAAGGGCUGGUGCAGCGGGGCCACUGGCACAUCUGUUCCCCUCGGCUCUAUUAACACCUGCUGUUCUUCAGUCUGAGCCCCUCACCUCCCCAGAAGACAAGAAGGGGUCGGAGUCCCCGGUUACGCAUGCCCAUUGGACCGUGAAGGAUUGUGGUGCCUGUUCAAACAUCAAACCAAGAGGGAGCUGCAGGACAAGGAGGAAACAGGAAACACGUCUGAAGACACUCAGAGGCACCUACUGAAGCCGGAAGCAGGUGCACUUUGCAAAGUGGAGAAGGAGAGACCUCAGGGGCACCUGGGGGGCCAGGCUGACAGGAGACAAGGACCCCAGGGAGCCAGGGCGCCAGGGCUCAGCAGGUGGGCUGUGGACUGGCCACGCCCAUGAGGGGAGCGGGGGGGUCAGGGGGGACCUCUAGACCGCCUGGCCCCCUCUCCCCCCAAAGGAGACCCGGGUGACUCUGGAGAGGCUGAAGGGUGACCCAUGUGGGGAGGUGAGGCCCGGCCACUUUCCCUGCCCCUUCCUGGAGUGUUCCCUCCUGCAGGAGGCCGGACAAUCCCCCCUGAGGAAGCUGCCAAGCUAGGAGGCAGGAGCAAUGGAUGCUGACCUCUGGGGCUCCCCUAGCGAGGCUAUGGGGCCACGGCGGGGGGCGGGGGGUCACCCUACUUGAGCCACAUCUGUAGAGCCAGACUCUGCCUUCUUGCCGGAGCCUCCAGCCAGUGUUUUAAUGUUCUCCUUUUAAGGAGUCACAUGUGGUCCAGGGUCAGCUGACUUUCCCAGAGAUCCUCUGUGAUAUUGUGAUUUAUAAUAAGAAAUAUAUAUUUAGGAGUUCCCACUGUGGCUCAGCAGGUUAAGAGCCUGACUAGGAGGAUGCAGCUUCAAUCCCUGGCCUCACUCAGGGAGGAUCCAGCAUUGCCAUGAGCUGUGGUGUAAGUUCCAGACGUGGUUCAGAUCCCAUGUUGCUGUGGCUAUGGUGUAGGCUGGAGGUUGCAGCUCCAAUUCAGGUCUCCUAGCCUGGAAACUUCCAUAUGCUGCGGGUGCAGCCCUAAAUAAAUAAAUAAAUAAAUAAAUAAAUAAAUAAUAUAUUAUAUUAUAUCUAUAUAGGUCUUUGGGAAUUCCCAUUGUGGCUAAGCGGUUAACGAAUCCGACUAACAUCCAUGAGGCUGUGGGUUCGAUCCUUGGCCUCGACCAGUGGGUUAAGGAUCCAGCGUUGCUGUGAGCUGUGGUGUGGGUCGCAGACGUGGCUCAGAUCCUGCAUUGCCGUGGCUCUGGCGUAGGCCGGUGGCCACAGCUCCGAUUCGACCCCCAGCCUGGGAACCUCCAUAUGCCAUGGGUGUGGCCCUAAAAAAAUAUAUACGUAUAUAUGUCUUCAUCCUGUUUAUGGCACAGAGCUCCUAAAACCCUUGGAAUUUCUUAAGUGACAAGUGUGAUAGAUGUGUCUCUUGCUAUAAUAACAAAGUAAAUUUGGAAAAGCAUCUACAGAUGGGGGCUGUUCGCCAGGAGACUCAGCCUUGCAACUGAGUGGUUAGCGGGUUGGAACUCUCGGUCCCCGUGUCCCCCAAACGGCUCAACCUCUGGGAAUGGGAGAGGGGUUAGAGGCUGAAUCUGUCUCUAGUGGCCAAUGAUCUAAUCAAUCAUGUCUGUAUAGUGAAGCCUCUACCAAGGCCGCCAAGGACAGGGUUUGGAGGCCUUCCAGGCUGGUGAACGAGGGGAGACCCGGGGAGAAUGGUGCUCUGGGAGAGGCACGCAAGCUCCGUGUCCGUCCCCAUACCCGGGCCCGUGCGUCUCUUUCAUCUGGAAGUUCCAGAGUUAUAUCCAGUAAUAAUAAGUCAGGGAUCUAUUUAAUUAAUUAAGUAGUUAAUUACUUUUUUUUGUCUUUCUAGGGCUGCAUCCACAACCUAUGGAAGUUCCCAGCCUAGGAGUUGAAUUGGAGCUGCAGCUGCCGACCUACGCCACAGCCACGGCAAUGCGCCAGAUCCGAGCCGCAUCUGCGACUGUGUCCACUGCAGGUGGCACUGCCACAACGGGAGCUCCAUCCAGUAAUUUAUUAAGUAAAUGGGUUUCCUAAGUUCUGGGAGCCGCUCUAGCAAGUUGAUGUCAAACCCAAGGAA
Molecule: long non-coding RNA, 2528 nt
Organism: Sus scrofa (pig)
Lineage: Eukaryota; Metazoa; Chordata; Mammalia; Artiodactyla; Suidae
Source: RefSeq, a predicted model, not a curated record